RNAcentral lists this ribosomal RNA (648 nucleotides) under uncultured fungus. Its description in RNAcentral is "eukaryotic LSU rRNA". It matches the Rfam family "Eukaryotic large subunit ribosomal RNA", at positions 24 to 664 of the family's 3401-position model. The record is from RNAcentral. Lineage: Eukaryota; Fungi.
CCCGCUGAACUUAAGCAUAUCAAUAAGCGGAGGAAAAGAAACUAACAAGGAUUCCCCUAGUAACGGCGAGUGAACCGGGAAGAGCUCAAAUUUAAAAUCUGGCGUCCUCCGGGCGUCCGAGUUGUAAUCUAUAGAAGUGUUUUCCGUGGUGGACCGUGUCCAAGUUCCUUGGAAAAGGAUAUCAGAGAGGGUGACAAUCCCGUCCUUGACACGACAACCAUUGCUCUGUGAUACACUUUCUACGAGUCGAGUUGUUUGGGAAUGCAGCUCAAAAUGGGUGGUAAAUUCCAUCUAAAGCUAAAUAUUGGCGAGAGACCGAUAGCGAACAAGUACCGUGAGGGAAAGAUGAAAAGCACUUUGGAAAGAGAGUUAAACAGUAUGUGAAAUUGUUGAAAGGGAAACGAUUGAAGUCAGUCGUGUUGGAGAGAUUCAGCUAGUUCUGCUGGUGUAUUUCUCUUCAACGGGUCAACAUCAGUUUGGAUCGGUGGAUAAGGACAAGGGAAUGUGGCUCUUCGGAGUGUUAUAGCCCUUGAUCGCAUACAUUGGUUCAGACUGAGGAAUGCAGCUCGCCUUUAUGGCCGGGGUUCGCCCACGUUCGAGCUUAGGAUGUUGACAUAAUGGCUUUAAACGACCCGUCUUGAAACACGG